Molecule: ribosomal RNA, 348 nt
Filed under: uncultured bacterium
Lineage: Bacteria
Description: partial 16S ribosomal RNA
Rfam family: Bacterial small subunit ribosomal RNA
Source: RNAcentral
CCUACGGGCGGCAGCAGUGGGGGAUAUUGCACAAUGGGGGGAACCCUGAUGCAGCGACGCCGCGUGGGUGAAGAAGAGCCUCGGCGCGUAAAGCCCUGUCAGCAGGGAAGAAAAUGACGGUACCUGAAGAAGAAGCCCCGGCGAACUACGUGCCAGCAGCCGCGGGAAGACGUAGGGGGCAAGCGUUAGCCGGAUUUACUGGGGGGAAAGGGGGCGCAGCCGGCGAUGCAAGCAAGGAGUGAAAGCCCGGGGCCCCCCCCCGGGACUGCUCUUGGAACUGCGUGGCUGGAGUGCAGGAGGGGCAGGCGGAAUUCCUGGUGUAGCGGUGCACUGCGUCGAUAUCAGGAG